UUGCUAUUUUUAUGAAGAGCGGCGAACGGGCUGAGUAACGCGUGGGAAAUCUGCCGAGUAGCGGGGGACAACGUUUGGAUACGAACGCUAAUACCGCAUAACAAUGAGAAUCGCAUGAUUCUUAUUUGAAAGAAGCAAUUGCUUCACUACUUGAUGAUCCCGCGUUGUAUUAGCUAGUUGGUAGUGUAAAGGACUACCAAGGCGAUGAUACAUAGCCGACCUGAGAGGGUGAUCGGCCACACUGGGACUGAGACACGGCCCAGACUCCUACGGGAGGCAGCAGUAAGGAAUCUUCGGCAAUGGGGGCAACCCUGACCGAGCAACGCCGCGUGAGUGAAGAAGGUUUUCGGAUCGUAAAACUCUGUUGUUAGAGAAGAACGUUAAGUAGAGUGGAAAAUUACUUAAGUGACGGUAUCUAACCAUAAAGGGACGGCUAACUACGUGCCAGCAGCCA
This 454-nucleotide ribosomal RNA is filed under the name Lactococcus garvieae. RNAcentral describes it as "bacterial SSU rRNA". It matches the Rfam family "Bacterial small subunit ribosomal RNA", at positions 73 to 517 of the family's 1533-position model. Lineage: Bacteria; Bacillati; Bacillota; Bacilli; Lactobacillales; Streptococcaceae. The record is from RNAcentral.